Molecule: ribosomal RNA, 769 nt
Filed under: synthetic construct
Also listed under: 1 other name
Description: bacterial SSU rRNA
Rfam family: Bacterial small subunit ribosomal RNA
Source: RNAcentral
UGCAGUCGAGCGGUAGCACAGGAGAGCUUGCUCUCUGGGUGACGAGCGGCGGACGGGUGAGUAAUGUCUGGGAAACUGCCUGAUGGAGGGGGAUAACUACUGGAAACGGUAGCUAAUACCGCAUAACGUCGCAAGACCAAAGAGGGGGACCUUCGGGCCUCUUGCCAUCAGAUGUGCCCAGAUGGGAUUAGCUAGUAGGUGGGGUAACGGCUCACCUAGGCGACGAUCCCUAGCUGGUCUGAGAGGAUGACCAGCCACACUGGAACUGAGACACGGUCCAGACUCCUACGGGAGGCAGCAGUGGGGAAUAUUGCACAAUGGGCGCAAGCCUGAUGCAGCCAUGCCGCGUGUAUGAAGAAGGCCUUCGGGUUGUAAAGUACUUUCAGCGGGGAGGAAGGUGUUGAGGUUAAUAACCUCAGCAAUUGACGUUACCCGCAGAAGAAGCACCGGCUAACUCCGUGCCAGCAGCCGCGGUAAUACGGAGGGUGCAAGCGUUAAUCGGAAUUACUGGGCGUAAAGCGCACGCAGGCGGUCUGUCAAGUCGGAUGUGAAAUCCCCGGGCUCAACCUGGGAACUGCAUUCGAAACUGGCAGGCUAGAGUCUUGUAGAGGGGGGUAGAAUUCCAGGUGUAGCGGUGAAAUGCGUAGAGAUCUGGAGGAAUACCGGUGGCGAANGCGGCCCCCUGGACAAAGACUGACGCUCNNNUGCGAAAGCGUGGGGAGCAAACNNNAUUAGAUACCCUGGUAGUCCACNCNNNNAACGAUGUNNA